CGGCGACAACAGCAACUUGGCAAAGGCGCUAAUCAGUCAGCAGAACAGCAACAAAUCUGUCCCUGCGGUCGAUGUGUGUCACUGUGCUGGAUAUCCGACUCGUUGGGUCCUGUGCAUCUAAUCAAUAUUUGGGAAAUGGUAUUGCCACUGCUGGCAGCACUAAUCCCGCGCCAAAUUGAAGCUGACACAGCGUCGGGAAAAUGUCCGAGAAGCGGACAACUUUCGAGCAUCCAGCAGCAGAAGCCGUCCUGUUGCGAAAGUGAAUGCUGUGGUGGCCAAAGUUUCGCAAUGGCCAAUGGCCUUGCCAGAUGCUCGUGCUGUUGGCCAAAUAGGAUUUGAAGGACUACUUUGGCAAACAAGUCCAUGGUCGCAUGACAAAAGGCGACCGCAGCAAGCGGUGGUAAGAAACCGAGCCUUGCUUGCAACUUGCAACACGAGGCUGUCACAGUAGCAACAACAGAACAGCUGCGAUCCAAGCCGCGUUGCAACCAAAAACAUUAAAAAUAUUUUUACAUUUUUUCCAUUUUUUUUUGGGAAAGGAUUUAAAAAAUACAGAAGGAUUCAGUCCCAACAUUCGCAUUAUAAACUAAUUCGUUCAGUGUAAUAGAAGUGUGUACUAAUUUUACUUGUCACUAAGUUACUCAAUUUAUUUAUGUAACCCAGUUCAUUGAAGGACAUCUCAAUAAAAACAGAUCCUUCUCGA
Drosophila simulans is the source of this 703-nucleotide long non-coding RNA. RefSeq lists it as uncharacterized. The transcript has 2 exons. The record is from RefSeq and is a predicted model, not a curated record. NCBI's taxonomy places the organism in Eukaryota, Metazoa, Arthropoda, Insecta, Diptera, Drosophilidae.